RNAcentral lists this ribosomal RNA (537 nucleotides) under uncultured Acidobacteriota bacterium. Its description in RNAcentral is "bacterial SSU rRNA". It matches the Rfam family "Bacterial small subunit ribosomal RNA", at positions 13 to 529 of the family's 1533-position model. Lineage: Bacteria; Pseudomonadati; Acidobacteriota. The record is from RNAcentral.
UUGAUCCUGGCUCAGAAUCAACGCUGGCGGCGUGCCUAACACAUGCAAGUCGGACGCGAAAGGGGAGCAAUCCCUGAGUAGAGUGGCAAACGGGUGAGUUACACGUGGGUGACCUGCCUCAGAGUGGGGGAUAACGUCCCGAAAGGGACUCUAAUACCGCAUAACAUCCUGCCCUUGGAAGGGUGGAGAUCAAAGCCGGUGAUCGCAAGACCUGGCGCUUGGAGAGGGGCCCGCGCCUGAUUAGCUAGUUGGUAGGGUAAUGGCCUACCAAGGCGACGACCAGUAUCCGGCCUGAGAGGUCGGACGGACACACUGGGACUGAGACACGGCCCAGACUCCUACGGGAGGCUGCAGUGGGGAAUUGUUCGCAAUGGGCGCAAGCCUGACGACGCAACGCCGUGUGGAGGAUGAAGAUCUUCGGGUCGUAAACUCCUGUCGAGCGGGAAGAAUACUUUCCGGGCGAAUAUCCUGGAAGGCUGACGGUACCGCUAAAGGAAGCUCCGGCUAACUCCGUGCCAGCAGCCGCGGUAAUAAGGU